RNAcentral lists this long non-coding RNA (490 nucleotides) under Musa acuminata (dwarf banana). RNAcentral's name for it is "long non-coding RNA (MACU_LNC001453)". The record is from RNAcentral. Lineage: Eukaryota; Viridiplantae; Streptophyta; Magnoliopsida; Zingiberales; Musaceae.
AAAUAUCUUAGUGGGGAGCGGACUGCGGCAAGUUUGGAGAGUGCAAUCUUAAUUGUCUCCUCCAUCGGCGAUCAAUUGCUAGAAAAUGAUAUCCUGUAGCAGAAAUCCAGCAGCCUUUGCCUUCUCGAUGCCCGAUAAGCCUGGGAAGGUUGAUCGCACCUUCCAUUUCCGGUCAACCAGGAAGACAACAGUGUACAAGUACUCACUUCCUAGCUGAAGAAUCUGUUUGGUACUCAAGUUUCAAGCUGGAGACUGAACUCUCAUCUUCUCUUUUCUCAUUCUGCUACUGCUUGUGUUGUGAUUCUCCUGGUUUCCAGUGCUCGAUCGAGAGGGGCAGCCACCGGAAUCAGAUGUUGCAGCGGAAAGAAAGGCCGAGAGGAUUCCGUGCCGAGGAACUACUAUGAACUGCUUGGGGUCUCUACUGAUUCCACCCCUCAGCAAAUCAAGGAUGCCUACCGGAGUUUACAGAAGAAACACCACCCAGAUAUCG